CAGUAGCCGCGGGAAUACAGAGGAUGCAAGCGUUAUCCGGAAUGAUUGGGCGUAGAGCGUCUGUAGUGGCUUUUCAAGUCCGCCGUCAAAUCCCGGGGCUCAACCCUGGACAGGCGGUGGAAACUACCAAGCUAGAGUACGGUAGGGGCAGAGGGAAUUUCCGGUGGAGCGGUGAAAUGCGUUGAGAUCGAAAAGAACACCAACGGCGAAAGCACUCUGCUGGGCCGACACUGACACUGAGAGACGAAAGCUAUGGGAGCAAAUGGGAUUAGAUACCCGUGUAGUCCCUGUCUCUUAUACA
This 301-nucleotide ribosomal RNA is filed under the name uncultured bacterium. Its description in RNAcentral is "partial 16S ribosomal RNA". It matches the Rfam family "Bacterial small subunit ribosomal RNA", at positions 509 to 808 of the family's 1533-position model. The record is from RNAcentral.